RNAcentral lists this non-coding RNA (87 nucleotides) under Clostridiales bacterium PH28_bin88. Its description in RNAcentral is "c-di-GMP-I riboswitch aptamer". It matches the Rfam family "c-di-GMP-I riboswitch aptamer". From Rfam's summary of the family: GEMM was predicted in a large-scale screen for bacterial structured RNA regulatory elements. Genes associated with GEMM are involved in a diverse array of functions, including chemotaxis regulation, signal transduction, secretion and chitin. The record is from Rfam by way of RNAcentral. Lineage: Bacteria; Bacillati; Bacillota; Clostridia; Eubacteriales. RNAcentral also lists the same sequence under 1 other name.
GUUUGAAAAAGGUAAACCUAGCGAAAGCUGGGGGCACAAAGCCACGGGUCUAAGGUAGUUUACUACUAUGAUCGCCGGGUUGCCGCA